AUUGAACGCUGGCGGCAUGCCUUACACAUGCAAGUCGAACGGCAGCACGGGAGCUUGCUCCUGGUGGCGAGUGGCGAACGGGUGAGUAAUACAUCGGAACGUACCCUGAAGUGGGGGAUAACGUAGCGAAAGUUACGCUAAUACCGCAUAUUCUGUGAGCAGGAAAGAGGGGGAUCGCAAGACCUCUUGCUUUAGGAGCGGCCGAUGUCGGAUUAGCUAGUUGGUGAGGUAAAGGCUCACCAAGGCGACGAUCCGUAGCGGGUCUGAGAGGAUGAUCCGCCACACUGGGACUGAGACACGGCCCAGACUCCUACGGGAGGCAGCAGUGGGGAAUUUUUGGACAAUGGGCGCAAGCCUGAUCCAGCAAUGCCGCGUGCAGGAAGAAGGCCUC
Molecule: ribosomal RNA, 391 nt
Filed under: uncultured bacterium
Lineage: Bacteria
Description: bacterial SSU rRNA
Rfam family: Bacterial small subunit ribosomal RNA
Source: RNAcentral